Molecule: ribosomal RNA, 497 nt
Filed under: uncultured bacterium
Lineage: Bacteria
Description: partial 16S ribosomal RNA
Rfam family: Bacterial small subunit ribosomal RNA
Source: RNAcentral
GAUGAACGCUGGCGGCGUGCCUAAUACAUGCAAGUCGAGCGAACGGACGAGAAGCUUGCUUCUCUGAUGUUAGCGGCGGACGGGUGAGUAACACGUGGAUAACCUACCUAUAAGACUGGGAUAACUUCGGGAAACCGGAGCUAGUACCGGAUAAUAUUUUGAACCGCAUGGUUCAAAAGUGAAAGACGGUCUUGCUGUCACUUAUAGAUGGAUCCGCGCUGCAUUAGCUAGUUGGUAAGGUAACGGCUUACCAAGGCAACGAUGCAUAGCCGACCUGGGAGGGUGAUCGGCCACACUGGAACUGAGACACGGUCCAGACUCCUACGGGAGGCAGCAGUAGGGAAUCUUCCGCAAUGGGCGAAAGCCUGACGGAGCAACGCCGCGUGAGUGAUGAAGGUCUUCGGAUCGUAAAACUCUGUUAUUAGGGAAGAACAUAUGUGUAAGUAACUGUGCACAUCUUGACGGUACCUAAUCAGAAAGCCACGGCUAACUACGUG